AUACGGAGGGUGCAAGCGUUACUCGGAAUCACUGGGCGUAAAGGACGCGUAGGCGGGUUGGAAAGUCUGAUGUGAAAUCCUACAGCUUAACUGUAGAACUGCAUUGGAAACUUCCAACCUAGAGUAUGGGCGGGGGAGAUGGAAUUAGUGGUGUCGGGGUAAAAUCCGUAGAUAUCACUAGGAAUACCUAAAGCUAAGGCGAUCUCCUGGAACAUUACUGACGCUAAGGCGUGAAAGCGUGGGGAGCAAACGGGAUUAGAAACCCUAGUAGUCC
This 274-nucleotide ribosomal RNA is filed under the name uncultured bacterium. Its description in RNAcentral is "partial 16S ribosomal RNA". It matches the Rfam family "Bacterial small subunit ribosomal RNA", at positions 523 to 796 of the family's 1533-position model. The record is from RNAcentral.